UACGUAGGGUGCAAGCGUUGUCCGGAGUUAUUGGGCGUAAAGAGCUCGUAGGCGGUCUGUUACGUCGGCUGUGAAAACCUGGGGCUCAACCCCGGGCCUGCAGUGGGUACGGGCAGACUAGAGUGCGGUAGGGGAGACUGGAAUUCCUGGUGUAGCGGUGAAAUGCGCAGAUAUCAGGAGGAACACCGGUGGCGAAGGCGGGUCUCUGGGCCGUAACUGACGCUGAGGAGCGAAAGCGUGGGGAGCGAACAGG
This 253-nucleotide ribosomal RNA is filed under the name uncultured bacterium. RNAcentral's name for it is "partial 16S ribosomal RNA". It matches the Rfam family "Bacterial small subunit ribosomal RNA", at positions 524 to 776 of the family's 1533-position model. The record is from RNAcentral.